AAAUAUAGAACAGGUUAGUUUGAUAACCAAAGAUGAGGAUAAAACAAGUGCCUCGAAUAAUAAUCCCACAUUUUCUGUCAAAGAAAGACUGCAAGAUUGGAAGAUUAAACAAAAUCAAUGAAAAUUUGGGUCUUCAAAAUAUUUGGCAAGUUAGAAUCAAAUAUGAUUUUAUUUCCAAAUAAGAUGACAUUUUUAUUGAUGAAAUUAAAAAACUAGUAUGUUUUUAUUAAAUUAGUGUCAUUAGAAAACAUAUCAUGAUAUUCAA
This 265-nucleotide long non-coding RNA is filed under the name Lupinus angustifolius (narrow-leaved blue lupine). RNAcentral describes it as "long non-coding RNA (LANG_LNC003751)". Lineage: Eukaryota; Viridiplantae; Streptophyta; Magnoliopsida; Fabales; Fabaceae. The record is from RNAcentral.